Molecule: long non-coding RNA, 4112 nt
Organism: Gallus gallus (chicken)
Lineage: Eukaryota; Metazoa; Chordata; Aves; Galliformes; Phasianidae
Source: Ensembl
CGGGAAGGCGCGUGCGUCACCCUGAGGCGAGGCCGGAGCGGGCACGAGGGCGCGCGGGGAUAGCAGUGCGCAUGCGCGGCGGGCUCUGAGGGAGAGGCGGGAGGUUCCCGCCCGGUCCCGUUCCGUGUGCCCGGUGAGGCGGCCCAGCCUGGGGCCGCCGGUCCGUGCAUCAGCUGCCGCGGUGGUACUGAUACCGAGAGAUGUUUGUCCAGAUGUUCUACCUCAUGGGAAAACUGAUCUGGUCCUGUUCCCCAGCAAAAAGGGCUGAAAAGCUAAACAGCAGCCUGGAGCGUGGAGGUUCGAAGUGUUUUUGAGUGACGCUUGCAAAUCUGACUUUUAAACUACCUUUAGAACAAAAUGACUCCUUUUGUGUGGUAAAAGAGUAAGCAUAAACUGUGGAACUGUGGAAACUCCUGCUUCUCAUCACCCAGGAUGCUGAGUACAUAGCAGCGUAUAGCAGAAGGGCAGGCAGUCACCGCUUCUUUCAGAAGGUUCCCCUGCUUAUCUGGAUGGUUUUACCACAAACCCAUGCAAAGAUUUUCUCUUCAUCACUGUUGCACAAAGGGCACAACUGAGGAUCCAAGACCACCACCACUCAGUGCUUCUUCUGACUCGAUUUUCAGUGAGGAAGGUCAAUUGGAGAUCUUAUGGCUCUUAUUACAGCACCCAGCCUCUGUUAAAAGGUUUUCUUUGUGAUAUGUCUUCUGUGUUUUUCUGCCAGAAAGAUUACCUCAUGUAUCCGUAUAAAAUGAAUGAAUUAAAAACAAGCACAGGAGGUGGAUUUAUCACACUGGUUUAUCUGAAGGUUUAGUGUGAAGCUGCUUCUCCUAAAAUCUAUUGUGGUUUUUUUACAGCAGCCACAGCAGUUAUGUCCCUUUUCAAGAAAAACAAUUAAUUCUUUUUUUCCAUUUGUCACUGCUACCAUAUUAUUUCUCUGACGGUCUCAAACAAUACAGCAGCACAUUUCAUCUGCUCAGAGUAUAGGAAAUUUUAAAAAUACUGUAAAAAAAUGAAUGAAUGCUGUAAGAAAUAAAAAAACAUUGGCGAGUGAGGAAGAAAGAAUGUGUAAUUCUAAGGGAAUACAAUUAUUUUUCCUUCCCACACUCUUGCACAAAAGGCAUCACAUGACAGUUCCCUGCUUUUGGCAUUAGUCAGCUGCUGUAUUAGCUUCUAACAUUUGUUGAUAAUUUUCUCUCAUUUGUGCCUGUGUAUAUAAAUCUGGUUAUUUACAUGAAAAAAUGUGCUGCCAGUAAAUAUUGUUAUGUCCCUGAAGAGCUACAUUGUGUUAGCCUUCUGAUAUUUAUACGUCCACAUACAACUAAUCAGCUUCAGUGGAACGUAAACAGUAGAUGUCUGUUAGCCUCCUUCUGAAGGUCAGUGGACAAAAUAAAAAGCAUCAAGGUCACCUGAAGCAGUUUCAAGCUGUUUUAUGCCAUAGUUUAUCCUAUUUCUCUAUAUACUUUUUUUUUUUCUUUUGGUGAGGAUCUGAACUGAUGGCACUUACAGGCAAGAGAUUUGUUUGUGAACAAGUUAAUUGUGAUGCUGCCUGCUGUGCAUACAUAUAGUUCAUAUUAAGCUUUCUUUCACCCUAAAUUUGCAUUCCUUGUUUUAAUCAUUACUGUAAUAAGCAUCUGCAUAAAAAGAAUGCUAGAAAAGAAAUUAGGAAAUGUACUUGCAAUCAUAGUAUGAUCCUCUUUAUAAUAACAUCUUUAAUUCGUGUAGCAUGACCAAUGCAAUUCCUGUCCACUGGCCUUGUAGUUUAUUCAGCUCUUAGUAUGCAAUGAGAAAGAAUUCUGUAAUUAAUGAAGCUGAUCCCCACAGUAUUCCUACCAAAAAUAUAUGUGUAUAUUUAGAAUCAUAUUUAAUACUGCUACUUUGUUGGUAUCUGAGAACUAGCCAACUUGGGAUAUUCUGAUUCUGUGAUUCUAUCCCUAUAUUUAUACUGUAUCAAUGCUGCUAAAUUUCGAGGUCUCUUCCUUUCAAUUACCUGUCCUACCUGGUCUUACGUGGCUUUGAUGCAUGCAGGGGUACCGUGGUGGAGCUUCAGUGCUUGUCAUUACCGACAGGAGCAGCGAAGUUGAGAGUGUAAAAACAAAGUCUCUGUAAUUCUGCACUGGGGAAAUGAUCAAAUUAACCCCCCAGACUGGCUCUCGAAAAGUAAAAUAAAUCCCUUUAUGACAAGUAAUAAUUUACUCCUCUCAAACCUUUCACCACUAAGCAGAACUCAGACACUACAUAAACAUAUGUACAUCUUGGAUUAAUUAUACAUGCCUUCAAAUUCCCCUACAAGUAAUUCAGCACAAGGAUAAUGCAAGAACACACUAAAUAUUCUGAUGGUUGACAUUAGAAAAUGUAACCUCUUGUUCAAGGGAAGCUGGAUUUAUUACCAUGAGUGUAGCUUUUGCAUGUUGUAGGUGACACACUAGGAAAUUCUUUCAGACUGGGUAUGUGCCAAAGCAGUCCUGAGCAAAAGCUGUAUUAGGGCCUUAUAUAAAGUGAAGUCCUGUCCUUAGCCUGCUGAACUGUGGAGUUCAUUGUCAUGGGAUGCUUUUGACAGAAAAAGUGAUGGGGAAUAGGGCCAGCACUGGCUUUGAAAUUCAGUGGUUAGUUUGAUUUCCAGUUAUUUGUUAGUUUUAGGUGGAAGGAAGGAUCAUCUAUAGUUAUCCAUCUGCCAGACCAGUCAUCUCUGACUAACCGUUAUUGGGACUGGUUGUUAGGUCUGCAGUACCUUUGGUCUGACCCACUUCAAGCUCCAUGAAUUACUCUAGUCAGAAUUCAGAGCAUCUAAAUACCGUAGGUGCCAUUUUCGUGCUUUGUCCUAUACCACUGCUAUUCGUAAGCAAGUCCUAGAAGAACUUACUAGCUGGUACGUAUAUAAUCAUCUCUCUUUAAUAAGUUUUAAAUCACUCUUCCCAAUUACCAAAUGCCUGUGAGUACAAGUGUUGCAAGAUUUCCUGAGUAAUGCUUCUCUGUCUGUUUUAUUGGCUACUUUGUGAUUUUGUAAACCUUGAGCUCAUCUUUCUUCAGUCUUCUCCAAAUUAAGGCAUCAAAGUCCUGCUGGUCUCUCCUCCAAAAUCAGCCUGCUUCAUCCCCGUGAUCACAUUAAAUACCUUUUCUCUGUAUCUGCUCAAAUUUUACUGUCCUUUUCAUGCUCACACUCUGGUCUUCACAUCUCAAAAUCUGGACUCACAAAUGCUUUUCAUAGCAGAAAAAUGGUGCCUUUUUAUCCUCUCUAAUACAUUUCAUUGUUUUUAUUGUUUGGGGUGUUUUUUUUUCUGGGGGGGGGGGGCGGCUGCUACAUCAUAAUAUAUUGAAGGUACCCCUAAUUUUAGGCAUAAAAAAAUAAAAUUCCCUCUUAUUCAGUAUGUUUCUCAAGUGGUUUAUCAUCAUAUUAAAAAAAAAUGUACAUGUAGUUUUGCAUUUAAAAUUUUAUAUGUUUAAUAUUCAAACUGUGGUUGGUUGUUGUUUUUUUUUUAAGUGCUCUACCUACUGCUUUCUCCUGUCACUGUCAAUGAGUGUAUACGUUAUUUGUGCAUAAUGUACACAAUGCUUCUGAGCUGUCAUUUUAGCACAGGAUCUAAUGCUAACAGAAGAGCAAUCCUGGACUUAGCUACCAGGAUGCAGAGAUCCUUCAAAACAAUGCACAAGAAAAACCAGCUUCUCCUGCAUGUUUGGUUUUGUUCUUAGGAAAGUACUAAACCUAAGAAAGCAGAGCUUUGGUUCUCUUAAUGAGCCAGCUUGCUUCAAGAUUCAAUAUACAUUUUUUCUUGUUGGCUUCUAAAGUGAGUAGAAUGAGUACUGUGUAGUCGAAUAAAUGAGACAAAACUGUCUAUCACUGGAACCAAGGCAGGAGAAAAGAAAAAAAAAAAUCAGCCUUUGGAAUAAGUGUAUAUAAAUAUUUGUUUCAGCUAAAAUAUAUUACUUUGCUACUAACUUUAAUCAAACAAACAUGUUUUGGAUCAUUCUUGGGGAGAUGUUUUGCUGCGUUCAUUGAUAGCUCUCAAAGGGCCAAGGUAGGAGAAGCAUCUGUCUAAGUUUGCAGAUUUUCAUUGACAUAACUUGGUUUCUGUGCACUGGUAACAUUGAUUCUGGUGGUAACAAUUACAUUUUUU